UCUGACAUACGUACGUUAGUUUUUUUCUCUUUUAUUAUAUAUCUUUAAGUUUUGGAUUACGGUAACUUUUAAAAUAAUUGUUUGUAGCUAUACUUUUAGAAAAACCAACGGUUAAUUGAACUAAAAUAACGUUUAGUAAAUUUUAAUUUUAAACUAGAAAAAAACUAGUUACAAUGUUCGGUAAAAUUAAUAAUAAAUUGGUGUUCAAUUAUACUAGGUAGGAAAACGUGCAACGUAAAUGAUCACACACAAAUUAGUCUAUUGUAUAUUGUAAAUUGAAUAUACCUAUAUUUUGCUAUAUUUUGUUUUAGAAAAGGAUACUGGAUAUGAUCAGUAGGCGCACUCAAACAUCCCAUCAGAUAGGUACCCUAUUAGCCCUCGUUAUCCCAAAAUUAUAUUCAGUAAUGUAUUCCAUUAUAUUUUGCUAUAUUGAAUAAGAAUCUUAUAUUUUUCUCCUAUUUAUUUCUUCCACUAAUAUUCUCCUCUCUAAUAUCCAUUUAACUUGAAAACAAAAGUUUCAAUCUCUACUCUAUUGUCCUUAAUUACCAACAUAAUUUGAGUCCUUUGUUUCCAUUGAUUUACUUUAGUGGAUCUUAUCUUGGUUUUUUCUCUUAAAAGAAAAAAAAAAAAAGCUUUUCUACUUUAAACAUCUUCUCUUCCUAAUAUUUAUAUUUAUUUUUCUCUAAUAUUUUGUAAUUUUCUAUCUAAUGUUGCUAAUAGCAACUUGCUUUCUCCUUUUUAACCCUUUUUUCUGAUCUCUAACCUUUAUUUGUUCCAUAAUUAACUAUUUAAACACUUUUGUCUCUCUAAUGUCGCUCUUUUAACAUGUAUUUUUCUUUAAUUUAACAUGUAUAUAUUUUGCUUUCUUUUCACAUAUAUUUCUCUAUAUAAACGUAUAUAUAUUUUGUUAUCAAACAUAAACAAAACAAAAAUGUAUAACGAUAUAUAUGAAACAUGUAUGGGUGAUUUUCAUUGUUUAAAAGUAAAAAAAAAAAAAAAAAAAAGAUCAAAGAAGAAAAAGUAAAUUAACAAAAAACUAACAAUUGAAAUGGUUAUGUUGUUUGAGUUGCAUUUGACAGUGACUUCUGGUUUUGGUUUUGUUUUUGUUUUUCUUGAAAUCUAUGCCAACUUUAUCAUAUAUCUUAAGAAAGAAACUAGAAUUGGAAGCCAAAAUCUAUAAAUUAAAAAAAAAGGAGUGGUUGAAAUCUAUAAAUUUGACUUAAUUUUUCAAAGAAAAUAAAAGAAAACAUAAAAACUGAAGAGAAAAUUAGUGUUUACAAGUUUAAGUUUCUCAUCUUAAAAUCAACACACGUGUGAGUAAAAGAAAGCAAACCAUGUAUGCAGAAGGACUUUAUCUUGAAGCAGUGUUAAAAGUGGACCUAAAGAGACACCGUCUUCGUUACGAACAUAAUACUUAGAAACUGGCGUAAGGCUAUAAAGUCUUUGCACAUUCCCAUCUUCAUCAGAAGCCAAAGAGCAUCCCACGACAGCGU
Molecule: long non-coding RNA, 1493 nt
Filed under: Cucumis sativus (cucumber)
Lineage: Eukaryota; Viridiplantae; Streptophyta; Magnoliopsida; Cucurbitales; Cucurbitaceae
Description: long non-coding RNA (CSAT_LNC000863)
Source: RNAcentral